RNAcentral lists this ribosomal RNA (365 nucleotides) under Sphyrna lewini (scalloped hammerhead). RNAcentral's name for it is "partial small subunit ribosomal RNA". It matches the Rfam family "Bacterial small subunit ribosomal RNA", at positions 852 to 1384 of the family's 1533-position model. Lineage: Eukaryota; Metazoa; Chordata; Chondrichthyes; Carcharhiniformes; Carcharhinidae. The record is from RNAcentral.
AUAUCUCACUAUAUUGUUCGCCAGAGAACUACAAGCGCUAGCUUAAAACCCAAAGGACUUGGCGGUAUCUCACACCCACCUAGAGGAGCCUGUUCUAUAACCGAUAAUCCCCGUUAAACCUCACCACCUCUUGCCAUUACCGUCUAUAUACCGCCGUCGUCAGCUCACCCUAUGAAGGAUAAAAAGUAAGCAAAAUGAAUAAAACUCCAAAACGUCAGGUCGAGGUGUAGCAAAUGAAGUGGAAAGAAAUGGGCUACAUUUUUUUACAAAAACAUAUACGAAUGGUAGACUGAAAAACACCUAAAGGUGGAUUUAGCAGUAAGAAGAGAUCAGAACACUCUUCUGAAAUCGGCCCUGAGAUAAGC